AACACAUGCAAGUCGAACGCUCCUAGCAAUAGGGAGUGGCAGACGGGUGAGUAACGCGUGGGAACAUACCCUUUGGUUCGGAAUAACUCGGCGAAAGCCGUGCUAAUACCGGAUAAGCCCUUACGGGGAAAGAUUUAUCGCCGAAGGAUUGGCCCGCGUCCGAUUAGCUAGUUGGUGAGGUAAUGGCUCACCAAGGCGACGAUCGGUAGCUGGUCUGAGAGGAUGAUCAGCCACACUGGGACUGAGACACGGCCCAGACUCCUACGGGAGGCAGCAGUGGGGAAUAUUGGACAAUGGGCGCAAGCCUGAUCCAGCCAUGCCGCGUGAGUGAUGGAGGCCUUAGGGUUGUAAAGCUCUUUCGACGGGGACGAUAAUGACGGUACCCGUAGAAGAAG
RNAcentral lists this ribosomal RNA (395 nucleotides) under grassland soil clone saf3_117. RNAcentral's name for it is "bacterial SSU rRNA". It matches the Rfam family "Bacterial small subunit ribosomal RNA", at positions 50 to 490 of the family's 1533-position model. The record is from RNAcentral.